RNAcentral lists this ribosomal RNA (467 nucleotides) under uncultured bacterium. Its description in RNAcentral is "partial 16S ribosomal RNA". It matches the Rfam family "Bacterial small subunit ribosomal RNA", at positions 28 to 507 of the family's 1533-position model. The record is from RNAcentral.
GAUGAACGCUGGCGGCGCGCCUAACACAUGCAGGUCGAACGAUUAAAGCACCUUCGGGUGUGUAUAAAGUGGCGAACGGCUGAGUAACACGUGGGCAACCUGCCCCUUUCAUUGGGAUAGCCACGGGAAACCGUGGAUAAUACCGAAUACUUCGAGACUUCCGCAUGGAAGACUCGAGAAAGCUCCGGCGGAGAGGGAUGGGCCCGCGGCCUGUUAGCUUGUUGGUGGGGUAACGGCCUACCAAGGCAAUGAUGGGUAGCUGGGUUGAGAGACCGACCAGCCAGAUUGGGACUGAGACACGGCCCAGACUCCUACGGGAGGCAGCAGUGGGGAAUCUUGCACAAUGGGCGAAAGCCUGAUGCAGCGACGCCGCGUGCGGGAUGAAGGCCUUCGGGUUGUAAACCGCUUUCAGCAGGGACGAGGCGAAAGUGACGGUACCUGCAGAAGAAGCCCCGGCUAACUACGUG